GCCGAAGUAGCUCAGUCGGUAGAGCAAUUCAUUCGUAAUGAAUAGGUCACCGGUUCAAUUCCGGUCUUCGGCU
This 73-nucleotide transfer RNA is filed under the name Candidatus Raymondbacteria bacterium RifOxyA12_full_50_37. RNAcentral's name for it is "tRNA-Thr". It matches the Rfam family "tRNA". From Rfam's summary of the family: Transfer RNA (tRNA) molecules are approximately 80 nucleotides in length. Their secondary structure includes four short double-helical elements and three loops (D, anti-codon, and T loops). Lineage: Bacteria; Candidatus Raymondiibacteriota. RNAcentral also lists the same sequence under 6 other names. The record is from RNAcentral.